UACGAAGGGGGCUAGCGUUGCUCGGAAUCACUGGGCGUAAAGCGCACGUAGGCGGAUCUUUAAGUCAGGGGUGAAAUCCUGGAGCUCAACUCCAGAACUGCCUUUGAUACUGGGGAUCUCGAGUCCGGGAGAGGUGAGUGGAACUGCGAGUGUAGAGGUGAAAUUCGUAGAUAUUCGCAAGAACACCAGUGGCGAAGGCGGCUCACUGGACGACUGUUGACGCUGAGGUGCGAAAGCGUGGGGAGCAAACAGG
Molecule: ribosomal RNA, 253 nt
Filed under: uncultured bacterium
Lineage: Bacteria
Description: partial 16S ribosomal RNA
Rfam family: Bacterial small subunit ribosomal RNA
Source: RNAcentral